AGCGAACGCUGGCGGCAGGCCUAACACAUGCAAGUCGAACGAACUCUUCGGAGUUAGUGGCGGCCGGGUGAGUAACACGUGGGAACGUGCCUUUUGGUUCGGCAUAACUCAGGGAAACUUGUGCUAAUACCGAAUGUGCCCUUCGGGGGAAAGAUUUAUCGCCAUUAGAGCGGCCCGCGUCUGAUUAGCUAGUUGGGGAGGUUACGGCUCACCAAGGCGCCGAUUAGUAGCUGGUCUGAGAGGAUGGCCAGCCACACUGGGACGGAGACACGGCCCAGACUCCUACGGGAGGCAGCAGUGGGGAAUCUUGCGCAAUGGGCGAAAGCCUGACGCAGCCAUGCCGCGUGAAUGAUGAAGGUCGUAGGAUUGUAAAAUUCUUUCACCGGGGACGAUAAUGACGGUACCCGGAGAAGAAGCCCCGGCUAACUUUGUG
Molecule: ribosomal RNA, 433 nt
Filed under: uncultured bacterium
Lineage: Bacteria
Description: partial 16S ribosomal RNA
Rfam family: Bacterial small subunit ribosomal RNA
Source: RNAcentral